Molecule: small RNA, 87 nt
Filed under: Priestia koreensis
Lineage: Bacteria; Bacillati; Bacillota; Bacilli; Caryophanales; Bacillaceae
Description: Bacillus koreensis BsrC
Rfam family: BsrC
About the family: The 301 nucleotide sequence from Kouji Nakamura has been trimmed to a highly conserved ~85 nucleotide long core to form this family.
Source: Rfam by way of RNAcentral
UGUGUCUAGCACAACGAAAGCCCUACCUCUCUUUCGUCCUUACGGCUCCGAAGCCGUGCCAGUAUGAACCAGACUUGUGCAUCGCUU